RNAcentral lists this long non-coding RNA (1316 nucleotides) under Fragaria vesca (wild strawberry). RNAcentral describes it as "long non-coding RNA (FVES_LNC003263)". The record is from RNAcentral. Lineage: Eukaryota; Viridiplantae; Streptophyta; Magnoliopsida; Rosales; Rosaceae.
GCUGAUCAGGUGCGGACGUCCACACCAAAACUUUGGUGCGGAUUUCCAUUUUUACACCAUUUUUCGAUCGAAUUUCCUCAUCUCCACCAUCUGGUAUCUAGAUAAUAUUGUGUAGAUCAUCUCUGCAAAAUUUCAGCCAAUUUGGUGAUCGUUAAGGCCCUCAAAAUCGAUAGUAAACUACAUAUUAGUUACUAACCAAAUUUCACUUUACAAAUACAUCCUUUGCACAUUAUCUUAUACAGUUAAGGACAAAAAUUAACAAAUUAGGACAAUUUAAUAUGCACAUGCCAUCUGUCACUACAAAUUUACCAGAAUACCCUUCACUACAUAUUAUGUUGCUACUGUCGACAGAAUGUGCUACUGUCGAUCAAUAGGUGCUACUGCCGAUCAAUAGGUGCUACUGCCGAUCAAAAGGUGCUACUGCCGGUGCUAUUGCAGUAUUUUUUUCGGCUAUUCUAUGAUUGCUAGCGCGCUGCUACUGCCAACUCUUAUGCUAGCACACUGCUACUGCCGACUCUUAUGCUAGCACACUGCUACUGCUGACUCUAUGAUGUUAACGCGCUGCUACUGUCGAUGCUAGCGUGCUGCUACUGUCGAUGCUAGCGUGCUGCUACUGUCGAUUCCCAAGCAUAAUAACAUUAAUAUGCUACUGCCAAGUAUAAAGGUGCUACUGCCGAGUAUAAAGGUGCUACUGCCGAUCAAAAGGUGCUACUGUUGGUGCAAUAGUUGGUGCUAUUGCAAUUUUUUCCGGCAAUUCUCUGAUUGCUAGCGUGCUGCUACUGCUGAUUAUGAUGCUUACGCACUGCUACUGCCGACUAUGAUGCUAGCGCGCUGCUACUGUCAAAGCUGCUACUGUUGAAAAAAAAACCUGCAACUUCAACAUAAACCUCCAUCAAUCCACAGAGCCUGAUCUUCUUGUUCCUAAGAUACUCCCUCACAACCUCCAUUUUCAAUCACUACCUCAAUUCAACAACCUGAAAUCAAACUGCUCAAAUUCCCCUAAUCACAAAGGCACAAAACUGAUUCAAUCCCCAAAAAUCCACCGAAAUUACCUUAGAGGCCGCAAUCAAAUCGUGACCGACGAGACAUCGAUGAUGUUGUGAUUGAUUCGACGUUGUUUGGCAAGUGAGAUCGAGGAUCUAGGACGACGAGGUUGGUGAAACCCGGAGCUUGCCGAUGACGGCAGAUCUCACAAGGCAAUGGUGGCCGGCGAGGACGAAGAAUGAGAGAUAGAUAUGAGAAUCAUCCUUCUAUUCAAAAGCCAUGGCGUCGAUCUCCACCAUAGCCGUCAAUCUCUACCAUCGUCGUCGAANNNN